CUACGGGCGGCUGCAGUGGGGAAUCUUAGACAAUGGGGGAAACCCUGAUCUAGCCAUGCCGCGUGAGCGACGACGGCCCUAGGGUUGUAAAGCUCUUUCAGCAGGGAAGAUAAUGACGGUACCUGCAGAAGAAGUCCCGGCUAACUCCGUGCCAGCAGCCGCGGUAAUACGGAGGGGACUAGCGUUGUUCGGAAUUACUGGGCGUAAAGCGCGCGUAGGCGGAUUGUUAAGUCGGGGGUGAAAUCCCGGGGCUCAACCCCGGAACUGCCCUCGAUACUGGCAGUCUUGAGUUCGAGAGAGGUGAGUGGAAUUCCGAGUGUAGAGGUGAAAUUCGUAGAUAUUCGGAGGAACACCAGUGGCGAAGGCGGCUCACUGGCUCGAUACUGACGCUGAGGUGCGAAAGCGUGGGGAGCAAACAGGAUUAGAUACCCUAGUAGUC
This 439-nucleotide ribosomal RNA is filed under the name uncultured bacterium. RNAcentral describes it as "partial 16S ribosomal RNA". It matches the Rfam family "Bacterial small subunit ribosomal RNA", at positions 339 to 795 of the family's 1533-position model. The record is from RNAcentral.